AGUGAACGCUGGCGGUAGGCCUAACACAUGCAAGUCGAACGGCAGCACAGUAAGAGCUUGCUCUUACGGGUGGCGAGUGGCGGACGGGUGAGGAAUAUAUCGGAAUCUACUUUUUCGUGGGGGUUCACGUAGGGAAACUUACUCUGAUACCGCAUACGACCUACGGUUGAAAGCAGUGGAUCUUCGGACCUUGCGCGAUUGAAUUAGCCGAUGUUGGAUUAGCUGGUUGGCGGGGUAAAGGCCCACCAAGGCGACGAUCCGUAGCCGGUCUGAGAGGAUGAUCGGCCACACUAGAGGUGGAACACGGUCAAGGCUCCUGAGAGAGGCAGCAGUGGGGAAUAUUAGACAGUAGGCGCAAGCCUGAUCCAACGAUACCACGUGGGUGAAGAAGGCGUUCGGGUUGUAUAGCCCUUUUGUUGGGAAAGAAAAGCAGCAGGUUGAGACCACGCUGUUCUGACGGUACCGGAAGAAUAAGCACCGGCUAACUUCGUG
This 492-nucleotide ribosomal RNA is filed under the name uncultured bacterium. Its description in RNAcentral is "partial 16S ribosomal RNA". It matches the Rfam family "Bacterial small subunit ribosomal RNA", at positions 29 to 507 of the family's 1533-position model. The record is from RNAcentral.